AUUGAACGCUGGCGGCAUGCCUUACACAUGCAAGUCGAACGGCAGCAUGAUCUAGCUUGCUCGAUUGAUGGCGAGUGGCGAACGGGUGAGUAAUACAUCGGAACGUGCCCUGUAGUGGGGGAUAACUAGUCGAAAGAUUAGCUAAUACCGCAUACGGCCUGAGGGUGAAAGUGGGGGACCGCAAGGCCUCAUGCUAUAGGAGCGGCCGAUGUCUGAUUAGCUAGUUGGUGAGGUAAAGGCUCACCAAGGCGACGAUCAGUAGCUGGUCUGAGAGGACGAUCAGCCACACUGGGACUGAGACACGGCCCAGACUCCUACGGGAGGCAGCAGUGGGGAAUUUUGGACAAUGGGCGAAAGCCUGAUCCAGCAAUGCCGCGUGUGUGAAGAAGGCCUUCGGGUUGUAAAGCACUUUUGUCCGGAAAGAAAUGGCUCUGGUUAAUACCUGGGGUCGAUGACGGUACCGGAAGAAUAAGGACCGGCUAACUACGUG
This 490-nucleotide ribosomal RNA is filed under the name uncultured bacterium. RNAcentral's name for it is "partial 16S ribosomal RNA". It matches the Rfam family "Bacterial small subunit ribosomal RNA", at positions 30 to 507 of the family's 1533-position model. The record is from RNAcentral.